UGAAUACGAGAUGCUACGGCGUCGAAGCAGUGUAUGUCAGACUUCCAAGAAAAGCUCGCAAUGUCAUAAAUAAAGAAUGCCUGUACCAUAACCGACACAGGUGGGUAGGUAGAGUAUACUAAGGGGCGCGAGAUAACUCUCUCUAAGGAACUCGGCAAAAUAACUCCGUAACUUCGGGAGAAGGAGUGCCUUCUUUAAGAAGGUUGCAAUAACAAGAUCCAAGCAACUGUUUAUCAAAAACACAGGUCUCCGCUAAGUCGUAAGACGAUGUAUGGGGGCUGACGCCUGCCCAGUGCCAGAAGGUUAAAGAAGUUGGUUAGCUUUUGCGAAGCUGAUGACUGAAGCCCUGGUGAACGGCGGCCGUAACAAUAACGGUCCUAAGGUAGCGAAAUUCCUUGUCGGGUAAGUUCCGACCCGCACGAAAGGCGUAAUGAUUUGGAUACUGUCUCGGAGAGGGACUCGGUGAAAUAGACUUGUCUGUGAAGGUGCGGACUACCUGCACCAGGACAGAAAGACCCUAUGAAGCCUUACUGUAACUUGAAAUUGAAAUUGGACUUUAUUUGCGCAGUAUAGGUGGGAGGCGUUGAAAGUAAUCUUGCGGGAUUAGUGGAGCCAUCAGUGAGAUACCACUCCUAUAAUGUUAGAUUUCUAACUUUGGAUCAUGAUCUGGUCAAAGAACAGUUUCAGGCGGGCAGUUUGACUGGGGCGGUCGCCUCCCAAAUGGUAACGGAGGCGUACAAAGGUUUCCUCUGAACGGGUAGAAAUCGUAUCUAGAGUGUAAAGGCAUAAGGAAGCUUGACUGUGAGACCUACAAGUCGAGCAGGGACGAAAGUCGGUCUUAGUGAUCUGACGGUGCUGAGUGGAAAGGCCGUCACUCAACGGAUAAAAGUUACUCUAGGAUAACAGGCUGAUCUCCCCCAAGAGUUCACAUCGACGGGGAGGUCUGGCACCUCGAUGUCGGCUCAUCGCAUCCUGGGGCGGUAGUACGUCCCAAGGGUUGGGCUGUUCGCCCAUGAAAGCGGUACGCGAGCUGGGUUCAGAACGUCGUGAGACAGUUCGGUCCAUAUCCGGUGUAGGCGUUAGAAUAUUGAGAGGAGCCUUCUUUAGUACGAGAGGACCGAGAAGGACAUACCUCUGGUGUACCAGUUAUCGUGCCAACGGUAAACGCUGGGUAGCUAUGUAUGGAGAGGAUAACCGCUGAAAGCAUCUAAGUGGGAAGCCCACCUCAAGAUGAG
This 1235-nucleotide ribosomal RNA is filed under the name metagenome. RNAcentral's name for it is "bacterial LSU rRNA". It matches the Rfam family "Bacterial large subunit ribosomal RNA", at positions 1564 to 2808 of the family's 2925-position model. The record is from RNAcentral.